CAGCUAGUUGGUAAGGUAACGGCUUACCAAGGCUACGAUGGGUAGGGGUCCUGAGAGGGAGAUCCCCCACACUGGUACUGAGACACGGACCAGACUCCUACGGGAGGCAGCAGUGAGGAAUAUUGGACAAUGGGCGCAAGCCUGAUCCAGCCAUGCCGCGUGCAGGAUGACGGUCCUAUGGAUUGUAAACUGCUUUUGUACAGGAAGAAACACUGGUUCGUGAACCAGCUUGACGGUACUGUAAGAAUAAGGAUCGGCUAACUCCGUGCCAGCAGCCGCGGUAAUACGGAGGAUCCAAGCGUUAUCCGGAAUCAUUGGGUUUAAAGGGUCCGUAGGCGGUUUAAUAAGUCAGUGGUGAAAGCCCAUCGCUCAACGGUGGAACGGCCAUUGAUACUGUUAGACUUGAAUUAUUAGGAAGUAACUAGAAUAUGUAGUGUAGCGGUGAAAUGCUUAGAGAUUACAUGGAAUUCCAAUUGCGAAGGCAGGUUACUACUAAUGGAUUGACGCUGAUGGACGAAA
This 519-nucleotide ribosomal RNA is filed under the name uncultured Bacteroidota bacterium. RNAcentral describes it as "SSU rRNA". It matches the Rfam family "Bacterial small subunit ribosomal RNA", at positions 242 to 758 of the family's 1533-position model. Lineage: Bacteria; Pseudomonadati; Bacteroidota. The record is from RNAcentral.